This 769-nucleotide long non-coding RNA is filed under the name Homo sapiens (human). RNAcentral's name for it is "non-protein coding lnc-OSBP-1:2". Lineage: Eukaryota; Metazoa; Chordata; Mammalia; Primates; Hominidae. The record is from RNAcentral.
CUUUCGGGUUCUAGGCAGCCGUGGGCGCUGCGACCCUUCUCUCACUGUCAGAGGGGCGGGAGCUCUCGGCCUGCGCCGCCUCCGCUGCCUGCUUGGUCGCGGGCUUGCCGGGAAUGGUGACAGCCCGGGCCCCCUCUUGGCCAAAGAAGUCCUCGAAAGCGUUCGGCGCACGGGCUUUGUCCAGCUUUUUAAACCGUAACAAGGACCGGGGCCGGGCGCGGUGGCUCACGCCUGUAAUCCCAGCAUUUUGGGAAGUCGAGGCGGACGGAUUACUUGAGGUCAUGAGUUCGAGACCAGCCUGGCCAACACGAUGGAGUCUUGCUCCCAUGCUGGAGUGCAGUGGCGUGAUCUCGGCUGACUGUAACCUCCGCCUCCCGGGUUCAAGUGAUUCUCCUGCCUCAGCCUCCGGAGUAGCUGGGAUUACAGCAAAGAUAUCCAGACGCUGUAUGCAGGAAGAACUGAAUUUCAGAGGACACCGUUUGAUCUUCAACACCUGGCAGUUUACAAAACAGAGACGGGGUGUCGCCAUGUUGCCCAGGCUGGUCUCGAACUCUGGAGCUCAAGCGAUCUGCCUGCCUCGGCCUUUCAAAGUGCUGAGACUACAGCCUGAAGAGGAGAGGGGGAAUCCUGGUGAGAAGCAUUUGGAAUUCAAGCUCAGAGAAGAAGACACGGAGUCCCAGCUGAGAACUCAAACUGGUAGAAGGAAGAUUAUUUUUCCUUCUCUAUAGGUGCUUGGAGGUAACGAGGGGAAAGGAGUUGAAAGGAAGGU